UAGGUCACAAACAUCAUCGAGGGUAUUUAGGCCCAAUAGUUUGUAAAGGAGCCGUGGAGACUGACGGAGUUACUGAGUCGGACGGAUCUGUGACCCGUGAGGUCACACAGGGAAGGAUUAGUAGAACCACGAGGUGUUAGUCGUCCUCCUGUUAAUACGUUGAAAAUCCACAAUGUACUUUGUCUCAAAAAAAAAAAGAAUGAAGCUGAGUUAGCGUUUAUUUAAAUUCUAUGCAUAUCUGGUCAUCGAGGAGAACAGAAUGAAAGAUUUAAGAGAAUCAUUUGCAGUUGUAUGAUGUGCAUUAUGUGAUGCUUAAUGUGCUAGAAAACCAGCAGGGCUCCUUUCCCAUUUGAAUCAUAGUUUUAUUCUGAAGCACUUUCUGAAGCGGAAUUAUAACUAGUACGUGAAUAGCUGUAGCCGCCAAACGCUGUGUAUCUCAUUUCACUAUUAACUUAACCGGGUUCCGAUGCGUCUCAUUCAUCCGUCUCACGAACGCUCUUCCGCAUCGCUCUUUUGUCAGUUUGGAUUCACUCGUUUUACCCGAGGGGCCCGGCCCCUCCCCAACCAGCACCUCCGCCCAGCUGGAGGAGAUGGAGCCUCGCCUGCUGGAGUUUGAGGCGGACUCGCCCAACUGGAGGGACCUCGCGCCCCCCGACGGCCUGUCCCGGCUCAGCAAAAAGGAGACCAAGAGGCAGGAGGUCAUCAAUGAGUUGUUCGCCACGGAGCACGCCCACGUGCGCAUGCUGAGUGUGCUGCAGAUGAUCUUCUCCAAGCCCCUGGAGAGGGAGGAGCUGCUGACCGCCACCGAGUUGGCCGCCAUCUUCCCGAACCUCGACGAGCUCAUUGAGAUGCACUACAACUUCUACGAGAACCUGAAGAAACUGCGUGUGGAUGACAACUUCAUCGUGAAAUCCAUCAGCACCACGGUGCUCAACAGAUUUGGAGGUACGGAGGGCGAUUGGUUCCAGAAAUUGACGGCCCGGUUCUGCAGCCACCAGUCCUGGGCCUUGGACCAGAUCAAGAGCAGGCAGAAGAAAGAUCCGCGCUUCAACGCCUUCAUACUGGAGGCCGAGAGUAAGCGCCAAUGCCGCAGGCUGCAGCUCAAAGACAUCAUUCCCAUCGAGAUGCAGAGGCUGACCAAAUACCCGCUGCUGCUGGAGAAUAUUGCCAAGAGCACAGAGGACCCGACGGAGAAGGAGAGGAUCCAGCAGAGCGCAGAGUGCUGCAGGAGGAUCCUCAACCAUGUCAACGAAGAGGUCAAGGAGAUGGAGAACCUAUUGACUCUGAAGGACUACCAGCGUAGACUGGACACGUCGGGCCUUAAACCCAGCACUUCCCUUUAUACAGAAUACAAGAACAUCGACCUGACUCAGAGGAAGAUGCUGUACGAAGGCCCAGUGACCUGGAGAGUCACUAAGGAGAAGGCAAUCGAGGUGCAGUGUGUGCUGCUCGGGGACAUGCUGGUGCUCCUCCAGAAGCAGGACGACAAGCUGGUGCUGAAGUGUCACAGCAAGAGCAACCUCGCCCCGCAGGAGGUCAAGCAGAUGCUGAGCCCCAUCAUCAAGCUCAACUCCGUCUUCCUCCGGGACGUGGCCACAGAUCGGAAGGCCUUCUAUGUGAUCUUCACUUGGGACAGCGGGGCUCAGAUCUACGAGUUAGUGGCUCAAUCUCUUGGAGAAAAGAAGCUCUGGACCGAGGUGAUAAAGUCCACGGUGGAUGAUCUGAAGAAGGGAGGAGGGCUCCGGUUGACGCUGCCUCCUGGAGGUGGAGGAGUUCUCAGUCCCACCGCGUACGUGCUGACCGCCCCUUUGAGUCCGAGUGAGAACGGCGGUUUGAAAAGCAGCAGCGGCGAUCCAGAUAAGGACGUCUUGACCGACGACAAGUCCUCGGACCCCCGGCACAGGCUGAUUGAUUUCCUGUCAGACAAAGGCUUCGACCUGAUUGGCCACUCCACCAGCGACCGGGAGAACGUGGCCAGCAGCGCUCUGGACCAAGUCAUGUCCCUGAAGAGGCUGGUGGUCGGCAGCAUCAGCCUGUCAGAAGACUCGCAGCAGGCGGAGAAGCCCGGUCAGGAGAUGGACGCCUGUCAAUCGACGGGUGAUCUUCUGUGUGAAGCCAAAGAAGAAAGCCGGACCACGGACACGGGAGCCGUGGAGGAGGAGGAGGAGGAAGAGAAGGAGGAGAAGAAGGACGACGACGACAACAACUCCUGUGAAGGAGAAAGCGCGGGGACGACGAAGGAGGAGGAGGAGGAGGAGGAGGAGGAGGAGAGGAGCAUCAGCGCGCCCCUCGUGCUGUCCCCGGAGAGGAUGGAUGAAGUGUGCAGGAGGCUCCUCAGUCUGGAGGAACAACUAAAGAGCUUACAGACUGUGGAAGAGGAGCACCACAGGCUGCAGGAGGCCCUCUCCGAGUUCUCCCUGGAGGGGGGCAACUUCCAGUGAGGCACCACGGCGCCACCUGCCGGCCACUAGGUGCAUUUAUAACUGUGUGAUUAAAGGAUCGGACAUUAUUACUGGUGCUAGCUGGGGGUGCAAAGCGUAACUUUCAGAAGCUUCCCCGGAGACGCCUGAUGAAGUCCCGCCUGGACCCUCGGCUGCAUUCGGGGGCUUGAUGCUCAGUGCAGUGGUGCAGUGAUGUGACAUGAGAAGGUGUCUGCAUGUGAACGUGUGUCUGAACGUGUGUGUGUGUUGGUAGAGAGGGAAACGGACAUCCUACUUUUGAGUGGAAGAUUGUUUUUGCAGGACCCAAAAGUGCCAAAAGAAUCUAAAGCAAUAUUUUGCUGUGAGAGAGAGAUGCAGCCAACAACAAAAUGUAGUGAUUGUAAUCUGCUGUAACACACAUACACACGCCAGAAAGCAAUGGAUAUCAUUAGCAGAUGAAGUUAGUGCAGUAAAGGAGGAAUCCUAUGCCAAGUAUAGCUGGCUAUAAGCUAUUAACAGGUUUCAAAUACUACUGCUGAUAAAGUUAUUUCUAAUCUAUGCCAAAGUACCACCGACAUGCACUUUUUUCUGAUGAAACUAAGUCAAAAUCACACUGUUUUUGAUAAACGUGUUGACUCUAUUCAGAUUGGCUUCAUGUAUGCGGGAGAUUUCCUGCAAGAAAGUGUGUGUACGUGUGUUACAAAGUUUUAAAUCAACGUGUGCUUGUUUGCAGGGUUCUCGCUGUGAUUUGUGUCACGCAGAGACGUUCAUAAAUAGUCUCACUAUAAGUAAACCCUGCUGUCAAUAACGGUGAUAACGGUCUGUUUUUACCGCUUUUAUUUAUUCCGACGAGUCAGUGAGUUCAGACAAAGUGUUCCAGCCCAAAGAAUAAGUAAAUAUAGAGCUGCCAACGUCAGAAAGCAAACCUGCAACGUGUAACAGGGAUUAAGGUGGAGCGUGAAGACGGAGGCCCGGAGGAAUGUGGAGGGUUCAGAGGCGCCUCGGCUUGGCUGGAUGGAUCAUGAGACGUGUGUAGAAAACAAGAGAGGAUUUGUAGUGAACAAACACACGCGCGCCUACAAACGCUGAGCCAAAGUACCACACGAGUGUUCACGAAGGUCCUUUUUGCAGCUCCACCUUUCCCCAAAUCCACAGCUCCCGACUUAAGAUGCCGUUACGUACCGUUGGUUGCACAUGUUUUAGAUUCUUCUCUGGUAGCAACCGUUGUAUCAAAACUGAGCACUGUCUUUGUAUUUUAUUCAGAAGUCGAUUGUAAUUCUAAUGAUGAUGAUGAUUUAAUGCCGUCGUAGUGGCACAACUGGCCAACAUGCACGCCGCACCAAAGACCAGACCAACUCUGCUGGCGGAAUGCUAAUGCUAAUGCUAAUGCAGCAACUGCUUUUCCUCUCCUCCAACUCCAGCGAGGGCAACUUGAGGGAAGGGAUUUGAAAAAGCACAAAAAAGAAUGUUACAGCCGCCUUUUUAGAUAAACGUAGAUACGGAGCUGAAGAGCGUUCGACCUCCGUGGCCUUGAUGCCAGACCGCCGAGCUGUGAUUUCCUUGCACACACGUAGGAGUGAUGGAAGCUUUGUGUUGACCCGGAGGACCGUUUGGUGAGCACGUGAUUGGACCUGUCCCAGCUGCCAAGGAAACGAGACGAGGAUGCAAAGGAAACGUCGAAGGAAGACUCUGUCAGCGUCCCUCUGGCCACCAUCGCUUCCUGAUUCAUUCUCUCGCCCGUUGUCUCAGCGGUGCCAUUAGCCGUUGCUUACGUUCCCCCCCCCGUGUCUUCUUCUUGUAAAAUGUACAUAGAUCUUAGCUUGAAAGAUUUUUUUAGAGUCCGUAUAAGUUAGUGCCCCCUUUUUUUGUACUGAUCUUAUUGGCUGAAACACUUGUGAUGGCAUGUUCACCUUUCCCUACUGCACACCUUUCACCACAUGUUGUAUUACAUUUGAUUUACUUAAGCGGCUCGGGGGAGGGUGUGUUCUUUGUUUUUACAAUUUGUCGUUGUUCUCCAUCAAGCUUCUUCAUUAUGUACUUUGCAUUUGGCAGCAACGGUGCGAGAAACUCGUUAAUGCAUGAAUGAAUUUCACAAUUAUGCAAACAGUGUGACCGUGUUGUGUCUGUUUUUUUUGCCUUUUUGUGCGCACGCUGAAGCACAAACCUCCUCUGAACUGAGGCCAUCCAGCCUUCUGCUGGGAUACAUCAGAAUCGUCUACCUGCAUUGAUCAGCAGGAUGAAACCCACUAAGACCAGCCGACAGUCAGGCCUCCGACUGGCUGAACUCUGGUCCUGAUGCGUUUCCUCGUGCAUUCUAUAUACAGAUACCUAGAUGUAUAGAAAAUGUAUUUAUAGUGGUGCCUUGUUCCAAUGAUCAACUUGUUUUGGGCGGUUAUUCACGGGACGACUGUAGCGGUAAAGUGUUUCUGUGGCCUGGAUGGAAAACUGCCUUCCUGUCUAUAAACAACCAAUAUGCAAGAACUAUACUGUGUAUUUGGGUUUUGAUUUUCUUUUCUUUUUUAAAUCAAGAGGAUUUUUAUUGAUGUAUACUUAAGAAAAUUGUGGUACGUUCUGUUUUUUAAUUCUUCAUUUUUUUAAAUAAAUUGGGGAAAUAAA
Gasterosteus aculeatus aculeatus (three-spined stickleback) is the source of this 5036-nucleotide non-coding RNA. Lineage: Eukaryota; Metazoa; Chordata; Actinopteri; Perciformes; Gasterosteidae. The record is from RefSeq and is a predicted model, not a curated record.